This 443-nucleotide ribosomal RNA is filed under the name uncultured bacterium. RNAcentral's name for it is "partial 16S ribosomal RNA". It matches the Rfam family "Bacterial small subunit ribosomal RNA", at positions 338 to 795 of the family's 1533-position model. The record is from RNAcentral.
CCUACGGGAGGCAGCAGUGGGGAAUAUUGGGCAAUGGGCGCAAGCCUGACCCAGCCACGCCGCGUGAAGGAAGAAGGCUUUCGGGUUGUAAACUUCUUUUGUCAGGGACGAAGCCAGUGACGGUACCUGACGAAUAAGCCACGGCUAACUACGUGCCAGCAGCCGCGGUAAUACGUAGGUCGCAAGCGUUAUCCGGAUUUACUGGGUGUAAAGGGUGUGUAGGUGGGAAGGCAAGUCAGAGGUGAAAACCACGGGCUCAACCUGUGGCCUGCAUUUGAAACUGUAGUUCUUGAGUACUGGUGAGGCAGACGGAAUUCCUGGUGUAGCGGUGAAAUGCGUAGAUAUUAGGAGGAACACCAGUGGCGAAGGCGGUCUGCUAGACAGCAACUGACGCUGAGGCGCGAAAGCGUGGGGAGCAAACAGGAUUAGAUACCCGUGUAGUC